Schizosaccharomyces pombe (fission yeast) is the source of this 259-nucleotide non-coding RNA. The record is from the annotation of a GenBank genome assembly. Lineage: Eukaryota; Fungi; Ascomycota; Schizosaccharomycetes; Schizosaccharomycetales; Schizosaccharomycetaceae.
UUCCGUCCGCAUCGUAACGGAUUUCGUAGAAAGCAAAUUGACCAAGACCGGUACGUUUAAUGGUCUUCAAAAAUUGCUUGGGAAUAAUUUUGUCAGUGUCGACAUUAGCCAUAGGCAAAGGAGCAGCAAUGCCUUCAACGACGGUGAAUUUGGGAAUACCGGCAGAUCCAGAAGAUACAGAACCAGCAACAUUAGUGGCAAUGCCAUCAGCAUCAGUAACUGCAUCAGUAGCAUCGUCAACAGAAAGGCCUAUAUCACC